GCGGGUGUAACUCAGUUGGUAGAGUGCAACCUUGCCAAGGUUGAUGUCGAGGGUUCGAAUCCCUUCACCCGCU
This 73-nucleotide transfer RNA is filed under the name Verrucomicrobiota bacterium. RNAcentral describes it as "Verrucomicrobia bacterium (freshwater metagenome) tRNA-Gly". It matches the Rfam family "tRNA". Rfam says of the family: Transfer RNA (tRNA) molecules are approximately 80 nucleotides in length. Their secondary structure includes four short double-helical elements and three loops (D, anti-codon, and T loops). The record is from RNAcentral. RNAcentral also lists the same sequence under 3 other names. Lineage: Bacteria; Pseudomonadati; Verrucomicrobiota.